Molecule: ribosomal RNA, 497 nt
Filed under: uncultured bacterium
Lineage: Bacteria
Description: partial 16S ribosomal RNA
Rfam family: Bacterial small subunit ribosomal RNA
Source: RNAcentral
GACGAACGCUGGCGGCGUGCCUAAUACAUGCAAGUAGAACGCUGAAGAGAGGAGCUUGCUCUUCUUGGAUGAGUUGCGAACGGGUGAGUAACGCGUAGGUAACCUGCCUUGUAGCGGGGGAUAACUAUUGAAAACGAUAGCUAAUACCGCAUAACAAUGUAUGACACGUUUCAUUUAUUUAAAAUUGGCAAUUUCUCCACUACCAGAUGGACCUGCGUUGUAUUAGCUAGUAGGUGAGGUAACGGCUCACCUAGGCGACGAUACAUAGCCGACCUGAGAGGGUGAUCGGCCACACUGGGACUGAGACACGGCCCAGACGAAUACGGGAGGAAGCAGUAGGGAAUCUUCGGAAAUGGGGGCAACCCUGACCGAGCAACGCCGCGUGAGUGAAGAAGGUUUUCGGAUCGUAAAGCUCUGUUGUAAGUCAAGAACGAGUGUGAGAGUGGAAAGUUCACACUGUGACGGUAGCUUACCAGAAAGGGACGGCUAACUACGUG